AAGUCGAGGGCGAAAAGCACUUCGGUGUGAGUAGAGCGGCGGACGGGGGAGUAACGCGGAGGAAUUUGCCCAGUAGUGGGGGACAACAUGUGGAAACGCAUGCUAAUACCGCAUACGCCCUAUGGGGGAAAGCAGGGGAUCUCGGACCUUUCGCGUUAUUGUAGAAGCCUGCGUCGGAUUAGCUAGUUGGUGGGGUAAAGGCCCACCAAGGCGACGAUCCGUAGCUGGUCUGAGAGGAUGAUCAGCCACACUGGGACUGAGACACGGCCCAGACUCCUACGGGAGGCACCAGUGGGGAAUAUUGGACAAUGGGGGCAACCCUGAUCCAGCCAUGCCGCGUGUGUGAAGAAGGCCUUAGGGUUGUAAAGCACUUUCAGUAGGGAGGAAAAGUUAGUCGUUAAUAUCGGCUAGCCCUGACGUUACCUACAGAUAAGCACCGGGCAAACUCCGUCCAGCAGCCGCGGUAAUACGGAGGGUGCGAGCGUUAAUCGGAAUUACUGGGCGUAAAGCGCGCGUAGGCGGCCUGAUAAGUUGGAUGUGAAAGCCCUGGGCUCAACCUAGGAACUGCAUUCAAAACUGUCAGGCUAGAGUAUGGUAGAGGAUAGUGGAAUUUCCGGUGUAGCGGUGAAAUGCGUAGAGAUCGGAAGGAACAUCAGUGGCGAAGGCGGCUAUCUGGACCAAUACUGACGCUGAGGUGCGAAAGCGUGGACUACCAGGGUAUCUAAUCCUGUUUGCUGUCCACGCCGUAAAUGAUGUCAACUAGCCGUUGGUGGGCUUGUCCCCUUAGUGGCGCCGCUAACGCGAUAAGUUUACCGCCUGGGGAGUACGCACGCAAGUGUGAAACUCAAAGGAAUUUACGGGGGCGCGCACAAGCGGUGGAGCAUGUGGUUUAAUUCGAUGCAACGCGAAGAACCUUACCAGGUCUUUACCUCCCGAGAGCUUUCUAGAUAUAGAGUGGUGCCUUCGGGAAAUCUGAUAAGGUUGCUUCAUGGCUUUCGUCAGGUCGUGUCGUGAGAUGUUGGGUUAAUUCGCUUAACUAGCUCAACCCUUAUGCUUAUGUGUUACCAUUUAGUUGGGCACCUCUAAGGAGACUGCCGGUGAUAAACCGGAGGAAGGUGGGGACGACGUCAAGUCAUCAUGGCCCUUAUGGGUAGGGCUACACACGUGCUACAAUGGCCGGUACAGAGGGCUGCAAACUUGCGAGAGUAAGCUAAUCCCUUAAAGCCGGUCCUAGUCCGGAUUGGAGUCUGCAACUCGACUCCAUGAAGCUGGAAUCGCUAGUAAUCGCGGAUCAGAAUGCCGCGGUGAAUUCGUUCCCGGGCCUUGUACACACCGCCCGUCACACCAUGGGAGUGGGUUGCAAAAGAAGUGGGUAGGCUAACCUUCGGGAGGCCGCUC
This 1398-nucleotide ribosomal RNA is filed under the name uncultured prokaryote. Its description in RNAcentral is "partial 16S ribosomal RNA". It matches the Rfam family "Bacterial small subunit ribosomal RNA". The record is from RNAcentral.